Molecule: long non-coding RNA, 2982 nt
Organism: Amphiprion ocellaris (clown anemonefish)
Lineage: Eukaryota; Metazoa; Chordata; Actinopteri; Pomacentridae
Exons: 3
Source: RefSeq, a predicted model, not a curated record
CAUAUCUAGUCUUCUACAUAUAUCUAUGGUCAGCACGUCUGGUAGCAUCUCUGGCUGCUGUUGAUCUUGUUUUUGGAGUAAAACACGGUGGAAGCUGAAUUAGUGAGGAUGACUCCUGCUCCUGUCAUCUCUAAGCUCCUCACACAUCUUUACCUACACAUGAGGAAAAUCACUCCUGUAGAAUGCAGAUGUUCAGAGGGAGAUGAUGCCACAUCUGGUCCAGCUGAUGGAAGGUCUUGAAGUUCUCUGACUGGCCUCGACUGAAGAUGGUCGUCUCACUGGAUUUAAGGUUCAGAUGCUCAGUAACAAACUUCACCAAUGUGCCAACAGGGAAGCUUUAGGUUUAUUAAAUGUUGCUAUGAAGGUAUCGCUGUUUUUCUUUGUGAAUGCAAUGUGCUGCAACUGAAACUUGAAUUAGAACUUAGAAGUAAAUCCUAUCUGAAAGGAUUUAGUUGCAUUAAUAACCUCAUGAGAUUCUAAUUUUUAUUCCAGUCUUGAUUGGAAAUAGAAUCUCUGUAUUGAUUCAGGUAAAAACUGAACUUGACAGCAUGUUGGAGCAAAACAACCAGAUGAAAACUGUGAUGGUGUUGGAUUGUCAGACUGUAAUGUUGCAGCUCAAAGCAGCUUUUCUAUCUCAGUUCAUUCUGACAUUCAGCUAUGAAUCAACACAGCAGAUGGUGAUCCAUACUGUGGAAGUCUCACAUCUCCUGAUUUAAUGGAGCUCCUUUGCACUUUUUACACUGUUUAUUCAUCCAUCCAUCCAUUAUCUAUACACCGCUUAAUCCUCACUAGGGUCGCGGGGGGGGCUGGAGUCUAUCCCAGCUGACUCAGGUGAAGGCAGGGGACACCCUAGACAGGUCACCAGUCUGUCGCAGGGCCACAUACAAAGACAAACAGUCACUCUCACAUUCACACCUACGGGCAAUUUAGAAUGAUCAAUUAACCUCAGCAUAUUUUUGGACUGUGGGAGGAAGCCGGAGUACCCGGAGAAAACCCACGCAUGCACAGGGAGAACAUGCAAACUCCAUGCAGAAAGAUCCCGGGAAAGCCGGGAUGCGAACCAGGGAUCUUCUAGCUGCAAGGCGAAAGUGCUAACCACUACGCCACUGUGCAGCCCACUGUUUAUUCACCAACACUUUAUUUAAUAAAAGUCCCAUCUAGUUUUUAUGAGGAAUGUGAUGUUUUAAUUUCUCUGUGAAUAACUGCAGUCUUAUGUAACAGCUGGAGUUGUAACAUCUGUCCUGAUAUUGAUCAUGAAGUAUUGAUCAGAAUACUUAUGGUUAGCAGUAAUCCCUGAAGUUUUACAUUAAAAUCUUUACUUGUCUUGUGAACUUUGGUACGAAGCAGAAACUUUAGCAUUGCCAGGGAUAUACGAGUGUUCAAUUCAAUUCAAUUUUAUUUAUAUAGCACCAAUUACAGUCAAAUUGUCUCGAGAUGCUUUACAGAACCCAUAUGCCUGACCCCCAGAGCAAGCCAAAAGGCGACAGUGGCAAGGAAAACACCCUUUUAACAGGGAAAAAAACCUUGAGCAGAACCCGGCUCUUUAUGUGGGGGGACCCAUCUGCCUGCUGGCCGGGCGGGUUGAGAGGGACAGAAGAGGUAGAGAGGUAGAGGGUUAGAGGUGGAGGUAGAGAGGUAGAGGUAGAGGGGUGGGGGGGGACACAAGGACCAUAAAACACACAGUUUAAUACAUGUGUGAUAAGACAGAUGAUACAUGCAAAGUACAACUAACGUGGAAACUGAUUAUAGUUUACUGCUAUGGUGUACGGCUCUGGCAUUAAAUAUACUACAUAUAUAGCUGGUGGUAAAUUCAAAAAUAUGUAGAUGAGCAAAUCAAUUAUAGUGAGGGGCAAAUUCUGUCCAUGUUUCCAUUGUGGGAAAUUCAGUCCAGCACAUGAGUUUGUUUUUACUGCCAGCUCCCAUUCAGUCUGAGAUAUUAAGAAUAAAUAAAUGUGCAUAAUGUGGAAAUGAACAGAUUUUAUUUUUAUUUAUUCCUACAGCUGCUGCAGGGAAUGUUCUAGCAUGUGGAGGAAUUUAGUCUCACAAUCACAGACAAUAAAUAUUAUCUGAAAGUCGGGUUAUUAUUGUUUAUCAGCACAAUACAAAAAGAUUAAUGUUAGAAAUAUUCCAGUUAAGACUCUAGAAUAUCAUGAUUAAUUAAAUUUUCCUCAACAAUAUGAAUGUUCAGGUUAAGAUUGUGCAGUGAUAUUAUCUAAGUUUAGCUGAUUGAAGUUUAUGACUCUGCACUAAAAUAUUAUUUAAAUUUACAUCAUUAUUAUAAUAUUUAGGGUCAGACCCUACAAUAUUGAGAUUAAGAAAUCAAAUAUUCUAUAAAAUGUAAAUACACUGAACUCAUAUGGAUAUAUUUAAGUGAGACUCUACAAUAUUAUUUGACACAAAUAUAUGUAAAUCAAAAUUUUAAUCAUUUUUACUCCAAACAUUUACUGGACUGAUUUAAAUAUUAAAGUCACUCCUUUCUAAUCCUCUGCUGUACAUUCAAACCUGAGGCCUGAAAUAGAAACACACAAGUAUCUGAUUGAAGGAACUUCUGCAGAGUCCUGGUUCCAGAACAUGAUGAUAGAAUUAUAGACAAACUUUAACAAAAGCUGCCUGAGAGUUUACAGGUUUUUAUGUUAGAUUUCUUCAGUAAUUUAAUGAGAGUUAUCAGAAAAAUCAAAAAUCAAGUGUUCAUUUGAUGAACUUCAUUUCCUAAAACAUCCAGAACUGGAGCUCAUAUCUUUGACAGCUGUAAAGUUUCUGCUCCUUCAAAGAUCACAAUGAACAACAAUGAAUGAAUUCUUAAAACACUCUGAAUGCUGGAGAGCGUUUGUGAUGCUGAAGUAGUGAGCAGUUUUUCUGUUUCUUCUCUGGAGAUGCACAAUGAGGGACGUCUGCAGCGACUGAGAAAGAGUCUCACCACAGCCUGACAUGAGGAAAAAGACUUUAUUGAAGACUACAAUGAGAAAAACUAUCAGACAGCAG